Molecule: ribosomal RNA, 468 nt
Filed under: uncultured bacterium
Lineage: Bacteria
Description: partial 16S ribosomal RNA
Rfam family: Bacterial small subunit ribosomal RNA
Source: RNAcentral
GACGAACGCUGGCGGCGUGCUUAACACAUGCAAGUCGAACGGAAAGGCCCUGCUUUUGUGGGGUGCUCGAGUGGCGAACGGGUGAGUAACACGUGAGUAACCUGCCCUUCACUUUGGGAUAACUUCAGAACACUGGGGCUAAUCCCGGAUAGGAGCUCCUGCUGCAUGGUGGGGGUUGGAUAGUUUCGGCGGUUGGGGAUGGACUGGCGGCGUAUGAGCUUGUUGGUGGGGUAGUGGCUUACCAAGGCUUUGACGGGUAGCCGGCCUGGGAGGGUGACCGGCCACAUUGGGACUGAGAUACGGCACAGACUCGUAUGGGAGGCAGCAGUGGGGAAUAUUGCACAAGGGGCGGAAGCCUGAUGCAGCAAAGCCGCGUGCGGGAUGACGUCCUUCGGGUUGUAAACCGCUUUCGCCUGUGACGAAGCGUGAGUGACGGUAAUGGGUAAAGAAGCACCGGCUAACUACGUG